Molecule: long non-coding RNA, 1200 nt
Organism: Homo sapiens (human)
Lineage: Eukaryota; Metazoa; Chordata; Mammalia; Primates; Hominidae
Exons: 5
Source: RefSeq, a predicted model, not a curated record
GCUUCAUGGCUCACAAAUCCUCUCCACUUUCUGAAAUCUCACAGUGUGUAACACACUAGACUAUGUAUUCAUAAUGAGGAUUCUAGAACUACAAGGGCCCACAAGCAACUGCUGCAUACCAGGUCCUAUUCUUUUUAGUAGAGACAGAGAAAGCAGCUGUAAGCAACAAGGCUGAAGUCUCUGCUGCUCCACAACCUACCUGCCAGUUUGGUCACAGGUAUCUCCCAAGAUACACAAUCACCUGGAGUGGAAGCUUCAGGACAACAGGGCUGGGAACCUGCGUGUUUCAGAUAAGAUACCUCUUGGAUACCUCUUGAUUCACUCUUCUUCCUGCCACUGUGGUGAGGAUCAUUGAGUCUUUGACCAGCUUUAUGCAGUUGCAUGAAUACCCUUUAUGGAGGUUACCAAAUCCAGCAAAGUCAUCUUCCUACUAGAAAAAGACAGCAUCUCCUCAUCCUGCAUUCACUACAUGGUGGAACAAUGGGUGCUCAUGAGAGAUCGGGGGAAGAAAAGCAAAGAACCUGGUGUUGCCUCUUUGGGUUUUUCUGAGUUGGGAGUUUGGAGGCUGAAACCAAGAGGUCAGCUGGGACUGUGGUCUCAUCUGAGGCUUGACUGGGGGAGGAUUCACUGCCAAGCUCUCAUGGUGUUGGCAGCAUGCAGCUCCCUGAUGGCUGUCUGAGGGAUGGCCCCCAUUUCUGCUGGCUGUCAGCUCCUCAACCUGCAGCCCUCUCCAAAUGAGAGCUCAAACAACAAGGCAGCUUGCUUCUUCAAAUCCACCAAGGGAUAGUCUUCUUAAGACACUGCAGACUCACUGUGUAAAAAUUGUAAAAACACAAGGUAAUAUAAUCAUGUGCAUUCCAUCACCUUUGCCAUAUUCUGUUAGUUAAAGGCAGGUCACAGCUUCCACCCACCCUCAGGCGGUAGUGAAUUCUACCAGGCCACGCACAUCAGAAGAUGGGAUCACAGGGGCUACCUCAGAGGCUGCUGGCACUUCUGUUGACCUUCCACACUUUGACUUUAAAUUCUCCCACAACUCCCAAAUUUAAACACCAGCUUAGGCCAAACUCCAAAAUCCCAGAUUCACAUAUACAAUGCCUAGUGGGUCUCUCCAUAAGAAGAUCUACAAAUGAGAUUGAACUCACAUGUUCAUAACUCAGUCCUGAUUAUCUGCCUCUGCCAAAGUCCUCCCCAUCUUGUCUG